RNAcentral lists this ribosomal RNA (465 nucleotides) under Umbilia capricornica. RNAcentral describes it as "partial 16S large subunit ribosomal RNA". It matches the Rfam family "Bacterial large subunit ribosomal RNA", at positions 1850 to 2577 of the family's 2925-position model. Lineage: Eukaryota; Metazoa; Mollusca; Gastropoda; Littorinimorpha; Cypraeidae. The record is from RNAcentral.
GAGUUGGACCUGCCCGGUGAAUAACUUUUAACGGCCGCGGUACUCUAACCGUGCAAAGGUAGCAUAAUCAUUUGCCCUAUAAUUGAGGGCUGGAAUGAAUGGUUUGACGUGAACAGAGCUGUCUCUAUACAAUUCUUUAGAACUUGGUUUUUAGGUGAAGAAACCUAAAUAUUAUUGAUAGACAAGAAGACCCUAUUGAGCUUUUAAAAGAGUAGGUAGAGAAUAACAUAUAGUUCUUAGUUAUCAGUCUGCCUUAAAUUUUAGUUGGGGCGACUAUGGAACAAAUAAAGCUUCUUUAUUACUAUAAGACUUUCAGGUUUUGAUCCAAAUAUUUUGAUUAAUGAAAUUAGUUACCGUAGGGAUAACAGCAUAAUUUUCUUUGAGAGUUCCUAUCGAAAAGAGAGUUUGUGACCUCGAUGUUGGACUAGAAUAUCCUAAAGAUGCAGCAGUCUUUAAGGGUUGGUC